GACAUUGUCCUGCAGUGGGACAGCCUGGCUCCUCCUCCCUUUUGUCUGCUGUGUCUUUGGAGAGGCAAGCUGCCUUCCACCCAGCACACCUGCUGCACAACACCAGGGUCUCCCAUUCAGAAGAGAAAGAAAAUGCCCAAGAGAGGGAAAAAGAUCAAAAGAAAUAUUUUGUUUCCAGGGUAGGUAUGGCCACAGGAACAAGGAAGUAGAUAAUGUGGUUGAAGUUUAUAGGUGGUGGGGCUGGGGAGAGGGGGACCUAAUUUUUAACAAGGAAUUUUUAAAAAUCUACUUGUUAUAGUUCAAAUACAGUUUGUUCCCUCCAAAAUUUAUGCUGAAAUUCAUUGUCAUUGUGGCAGUGUAGGGAGGUGGGGCCUUUAAGAGGUAAUUAAGUCAUUAAGAGGGAUUAAAGCCUUCUCAAGGGAAUAGGUUCAUUCUUGCAAGAGCAGGCUGUUCUAAAGCAAGGCCACCUCUCAUGUUUUAUCUCCUUCACAUGCAGCCACUUGCCCUUCUGCUUUCCACCACGAGGUGAAGCAGCCCAAGACCCUCCCCAAAGCAGAGCUGCCUUACCAUGUUGAUGGUGUUUGGAUGUGGAGUUUGUGAGAGCUAAUUAGUAUCAGAUGAGGCCAUGAGGUGGGUGGGGGGGAUGCACUGAUGGCAUCAGUGCUUUCUAAGAAGAUGAAGAGAGUUAGUACUCUUGCUCCAUGGCACACGUGAUCCCCUUCAUCAUGUGAUAAGACCUCAAGAAGGCCCUCACCAGAUGCUGGCACCAUGAAUUUGGACUUCCCAGGCUCUAGAACUGUGAACUAAAUAAACAUAUUUUCUUUAAAAAUGACUCAGACUAAGAUAUUCCAUUAUAGCAAUAUAAAAUGGACUAAGUCUUUUGCCAUUUUGCCUUCUUGGACUACUGAGCCAUGAUUUUGUUUGGGAAAGUGUUAGAAAUUAAACCCACACUACUAUCUUAGUUUGUCUUCGAAAGUUAAACAAGAGAGAAAAGAAGAACAAUCUGGGUCUUUGAAAGAUCUUUUUCCAGACAGGCAGUAGAAAAUAUGCCUUGAUAUGCUGGCUAUCUCCCCAAGAAGUCUGGGAACAAGAAGUUUGUCUAACUCAGAAUUUCUUUGUUAGUUAACUAAUCUGGUGAGGUUUUAUUUCCCUAACUUUUGAAAAUUAUUCUCCUACUGAUUCCCUUUAUGUUUCCAUGUUACUUUUGAUAAAAAGAAGCUGUCCUCUGUGCAAUUUUAAGAGAAAGAUAGCACUUUCAUUUUGUAGGAAAAACUAUUUUUUUCAUCAAGUUGCCAACUAAGAACAUAUAGUAAACAUUUAAAUUCUCCAGUCUUAAAGAUUACUGGCACUGUAAAACAUUCAUGAAGAAAAAAAUAAGAAAAAGAAAAAGCUCUGACAUCAGCAGAUGUAUUUCCAAAUUUCGAUUCUGCCACACAGUGACUUUGGGCAAGUCAUGAAACUUUUGUAAAUAUCUGUUUGUCCAUCCCUAAAAGAUAAGGCUAGUAAUAAAUCUGUUGCAACAGCUCAUAUUGCUCUAGGUAACAAAAAAUAAAUUGCAUCAAGGCAGAAACUAUGUAUUCAUUUUCUUCCUUUUAAUUCAAAAAAUGCCUUCAGGAGACUCAGUUUAAUUGGCAUCUGCUGUGUCUUGAAUGUGUCUCCCUACAAAAUUCAGGUAUUGCCAAGGUAAGGCCUUUAAAAGGUUCUUCGGCCACAGGACUCCUCUCUUAGGAAUGGGAUCAGUUAUCUUUAUAAAGGGCUUGAUGGAGGAAGUUCAUCCUUUUUUACCUCUCUACAUUCUACCAUAUGAGGAUGCCACAUUCUUUCUUUUUAGAAGGCACAGUAUUCAAGGCACCUCUUGGCAGAAGAAACCCAUGAACCUGACAGACCAUGAACCUGCCAGCCCACAGAUAGUGGACUUCUCAGCUUCGAGAACUGUGACAAAUAAAUUUCUGUUCUUUAUAAAUAACCUAGUCUGUAAUAUUUUGCCAUAGUAGCACAAAUAGACUAGGACAGUAUCCUUAAUAGUACUCAGUCCAGCCAGCCCUGUAGCAGGCAUUAUGACAAAUGACAAAGAACCGGAAAACUGAACCUAUGUCUCAGAAGAACAGUCCUUCUAUUGAGGAGAGGAAAUAUAUAAAUAAUAUGAACUAGCAAACAAUCAGAGCACAUAUACACAAGUUAUUAGAUGUUUUGGUAUAAACAGCAGGUACCAAGAAAGAGGAUGAGAAAGAGAUGGUUUUAUUUAGGCCUUUAUUACAUAUAAAAAUCUUAGUAGCAAAAGAAAAACUGCUAUAAAAAUAAACAAAUCCAUGGGACUUGCUUAAUCAGAAGAAUAUGGUUUAAGAUUUGAAGGUAGAAGUGAACAGAGCACAUGUCUUCUGGAAACUAACCUAGCCGGAGCGGACAGGCUCACUGAGGAAUAUGGCUCGAAAAAGUAUAUUGGGACCAAUUGACAGAGCCUUGAAUAUUAGCUUAACUAACAUAAAAGAGAAUGAAAACAGAAUUUUGGAGAGGAUUUUACUAUUCAGGGUCAAAGUUUAGUUCUGGAACUUGGUUGGACUCAGGGAGUGGAGGUGAUUUGGGUUGUUUGUGCUUACCGAGUGCUUCCUUCUAAGGUACACACUCCACGUCGAACACUCCUCUACCCACAGAUGGUUUGAUAAAACCAGUUUACCUAUGGGUGGUUUGAUCCAUAUUAACUAAACUCAGGAAAGACUGGUGCAUAAAAGCCAAUUUAAUUAAUUUCAAAAUUUAGAAAGUUACAAAUAAUCAUUAAAAUGAAGGUGGUAUAUGUAUAUUAAAUAACUCAACUUUUCUAGCUUCUCUCGAAUAGGAGGAUAAUUCUGGAAAAUGAAACCAAUAUCAUAAAACGUAUUGAUCAUCCAUCGACUGAGUAUUUGCUAAGCCUAUACUAAGUGAGAAGCACUUUGGUGAGAAACUGCAGGGUCCUGCUGAGAUCUGACAAUGGUUUAUGACAUCGGAGAUGGAAGAAGUAGGCCUCAGGAGAUGGGCUAAGAACAGAAGACAAGAUCUAAGACAUGAAGGACUCUGUAUGUUCUGUGAAGGAGCACAGGUGUCUUUCUUUCUAUAAUCACAAGGCCCUGCAAUAUUUCAAUAAAUUUGGAAAAUUUAUUAA
RNAcentral lists this long non-coding RNA (3136 nucleotides) under Marmota monax (woodchuck). The record is from RNAcentral. Lineage: Eukaryota; Metazoa; Chordata; Mammalia; Rodentia; Sciuridae.